RNAcentral lists this ribosomal RNA (528 nucleotides) under uncultured bacterium. RNAcentral describes it as "partial 16S ribosomal RNA". It matches the Rfam family "Bacterial small subunit ribosomal RNA", at positions 1 to 552 of the family's 1533-position model. The record is from RNAcentral.
GCGGAUCCGCGGCCGCUGCAGAGUUUGAUCCUGGCUCAGAAUCAACGCUGGCGGCGCGCUUAACACAUGCAAGUCGCACGAGAAAGGGGAGCAAUCCCUGAGUAAAGUGGCGCACGGGUGAGUAACACGUGGGUUAUCCGCCCUCUGGUGGGGAAUAACCCUGGGAAACCGGGGCUAAUACCGCAUAAGUCCGAGAGGAGAAAGCCGAAAGCGCCAGAGGAGGAGCCCGCGGCCGAUUAGCUAGUUGGUGAGGUAAUGGCUCACCAAGGCGACGAUCGGUAGCCCGCCUGAGAGGGCACACGGCCACACUGGCACUGAAACACGGGCCAGACUCCUACGGGAGGCAGCAGUGGGGAAUCUUGCACAAUGGGGGAAACCCUGAUGCAGCGACGCCCCGUGACAUGAAGCCCCUCGGGGUGUAAAGCUCUUUCGGCAGGGACAAUUAUGACGGUACCUGCAGAAGAAGCUUCGGCUAACUACGUGCCAACAACCCCCGUAAUACGUAAGCAACAAACCUUUUUCGGAAUU